Molecule: ribosomal RNA, 253 nt
Filed under: uncultured bacterium
Lineage: Bacteria
Description: partial 16S ribosomal RNA
Rfam family: Bacterial small subunit ribosomal RNA
Source: RNAcentral
UACGUAGGGAGCAAGCGUUGUUCGGAUUUACUGGGCGUAAAGGGCGCGUAGGCGGCGCGGUAAGUCACUUGUGAAAUCUCUGAGCUUAACUCAGAACGGCCAAGUGAUACUGCAGUGCUAGAGUGCAGAAGGGGCAAUCGGAAUUCUUGGUGUAGCGGUGAAAUGCGUAGAUAUCAAGAGGAACACCUGAGGUGAAGACGGGUUGCUGGGCUGACACUGACGCUGAGGCGCGAAAGCUAGGGUAGCAAACGGG